GACGAACGCUGGCGGCGUGCCUAAUGCAUGCAAGUUGAGCGAUGAAGAUUGGUGCUUGCACCAAUUUGAAGAGCAGCGAACGGGUGAGUAACGCGUGGGGAAUCUGCCUUUGAGCGGGGGACAACAUUUGGAAACGAAUGCUAAUACCGCAUAACAACUUUAAACAUAAGUUUUAAGUUUGAAAGAUGCAAUUGCAUCACUCAAAGAUGAUCCCGCGUUGUAUUAGCUAGUUGGUGAGGUAAAGGCUCACCAAGGCGAUGAUACAUAGCCGACCUGAGGGGGUGAUCGGCCACAUUGGGACUGAGACACGGCCCAAACUCCUACGGGAGGCAGCAGUAGGGAAUCUUCGGCAAUGGACGAAAGUCUGACCGAGCAACGCCGCGUGAGUGAAGAAGGUUUUCGGAUCGUAAAACUCUGUUGGUAGAGAAGAACGUUGGUGAGAGUGGAAAGCUCAUCAAGUGACGGUAACUACCCAGAAAGGGACGGCUAACUACGUG
This 497-nucleotide ribosomal RNA is filed under the name uncultured bacterium. RNAcentral describes it as "partial 16S ribosomal RNA". It matches the Rfam family "Bacterial small subunit ribosomal RNA", at positions 28 to 507 of the family's 1533-position model. The record is from RNAcentral.